Molecule: ribosomal RNA, 343 nt
Filed under: uncultured Lachnospiraceae bacterium
Lineage: Bacteria; Bacillati; Bacillota; Clostridia; Lachnospirales; Lachnospiraceae
Description: bacterial SSU rRNA
Rfam family: Bacterial small subunit ribosomal RNA
Source: RNAcentral
GGUGGUGCAUGGUUGUCGUCAGCUCGUGUCGUGAGAUGUUGGGUUAAGUCCCGCAACGAGCGCAACCCUACGUUAGUUGCUAACGCGUGAAGGCGAGCACUCUAGACGAACUGCCGGUGAUAAACCGGAGGAAGCGGGGAUGACGUCAAGUCCUCAUGGCCCUUACAUCCCGGGCUACACACGUGCUACAAUGGCAGGUACAGAGGGCUGCGAAGCCGCGAGGUGGAGCGAAUCCCAGAAAACCUGUCUCAGUCCGGAUUGAAGUCUGCAACUCGACUUCAUGAAGGCGGAAUCGCUAGUAACCGCGAAUCAGCAGGUCGCGGUGAAUACGUUCCCGGGCCUU